RNAcentral lists this ribosomal RNA (562 nucleotides) under uncultured bacterium. Its description in RNAcentral is "partial 16S ribosomal RNA". It matches the Rfam family "Bacterial small subunit ribosomal RNA", at positions 355 to 907 of the family's 1533-position model. The record is from RNAcentral.
UGGGGAAUUUUGGACAAUGGGCGAAAGCCUGAUCCAGCAAUGCCGCGUGUGUGAAGAAGGCCUUCGGGUUGUAAAGCACUUUUGUCCGGAAAGAAAUGGCUCUGGUUAAUACCUGGGGUCGAUGACGGUACCGGAAGAAUAAGGACCGGCUAACUACGUGCCAGCAGCCGCGGUAAUACGUAGGGUCCAAGCGUUAAUCGGAAUUACUGGGCGUAAAGCGUGCGCAGGCGGUUGUGCAAGACCGAUGUGAAAUCCCCGAGCUUAACUUGGGAAUUGCAUUGGUGACUGCACGGCUAGAGUGUGUCAGAGGGGGGUAGAAUUCCACGUGUAGCAGUGAAAUGCGUAGAGAUGUGGAGGAAUACCGAUGGCGAAGGCAGCCCCCUGGGAUAACACUGACGCUCAUGCACGAAAGCGUGGGGAGCAAACAGGAUUAGAUACCCUGGUAGUCCACGCCCUAAACGAUGUCAACUAGUUGUUGGGGGAUUCAUUUCCUUAGUAACGUAGCUAACGCGUGAAGUUGGACCGCCUGGGGAGUACGGUCGCAAGAUUAAAAGCUCAAAUG